Long non-coding RNA from Corythoichthys intestinalis (scribbled pipefish), 2081 nucleotides. RefSeq lists it as uncharacterized. Lineage: Eukaryota; Metazoa; Chordata; Actinopteri; Syngnathiformes; Syngnathidae. The record is from RefSeq and is a predicted model, not a curated record. The transcript is spliced from 5 exons.
CAUUAAUCAAUCAAUCAAUCAAUCAACUUUAUUUGUAUAGCACAUUUAAAAAUCCGCCAAGGAGACCAAAGUGCUUUACAUAGCAAAACACAGCAAAAUAAGUCAACUUUGAAAGAUAAAACAAACACAUAAAAUAAAAUAAAUAAAAGACGAGGUCAUAAACUGUCAUUGCACAUUAAAAGCUGACGAAAAAUAAAAUGUUUUAAGACGUGAUUUAAAAUCCGUAAGUGAGGGGGCCUGUCUAAUAGUAAGUGGUAAUUGGUUCCACAGCCUGGGCGCCAUCACCGCAAAUGCACGGUCACCCCUAAGCUUCAGCCUUGAUCUUGGGACUACUAGAAGCAGGUGGUCAGCUGAUCUGAGGGUUCUGGUUGGACUGUAAGGCUGAAGCAGUUCUGACAAAUAUGGCGGCGCAAGAUUAUUCAAACAUUUAAAAACAAAUAAUAAUAUCUUAAAAUGUAUUCGGUAAUGUACCGGGAGCCAGUGAAGAGAUGCUAAAAUUGGGGUGAUAUGUUCACGCCAAAACAACAACAAUAAUAUUAACAACAACAAUAAUAUUACAUUUUAUUUUUAAGUGUCUUUCAGGACACUCAAGAUUGCCGUACAAGGUAAAAGGUAAAAAAUAAGUUAAAAUACACACAUACAGAUAAAACCCACAACAAUGUUAAAUUAAAAAGAAUAAUGGAAUUAUGAGGAAGAAAGCCUGUCUGAAUAAAUAUGUUUCAAGAUGUUACUUGGCUGAGAUUGUAAGGAAGUCCAAAGUAUUGUGCGGCCUCAUCAACAUCAAAUUAUAAUCGAUAUAAGGGUCAGCAGGGAUGAAAUCGAACUACAUAUUCACAGCCAUUCAGUACUAGCCAACAUUCUAUAAUGAAGUGGAACACUGAUAAAGGUAUUGUUUAUGGUUUUUAUUUAAAACUGUAUUUUUGAUGACUGCUGUUAGUUAAAACGUCCACUAGAUGGCAUUAUAUGAUCUUGCAUUGCACUAAAACCAGGUAUAUGAGCGUUGCAUUUUGGGAAAUGAAGAUGCUAUGAACGCUAAUGGAGAAAACGCUAACGCUCGCGCGACCUCUUUCAAACCAAAGAAAAACUGACGAGUUCCAGACUGCUCUAAUCAGCGAAUUACAUCUGAGUUCUGUGUGAUACAAGUGUCUGACAGAAUUGAUGUCAAGGAGGAUUCGGCCUGAUUCAAUGAGGGAUUGAGGACCAAUUUUUUUCAACUUCAGCCAACUGUUGGAGCAUCACCCAAAGCAGAUAAGGUCGUGGAGGAAAAGACGUUAGUUUGACCAAUAAGCUACAUUGUAGCUUAUGACACAAUUGAAGUGGGCGUCAACUGUUCCUCCGGCUUUUGGCACAUUUAAAUGGAGGCCAGUAUCCGGACGACUCCAGGUUACCUGCUGAUAUCGACAAAGAGAAGCACAGGAUAAAUUGCCACUCAGUGACGCGUGCUGCCAGUCUUCCAUUGCAAGUAUUGGUGGCUCGGUGGUAGAGUUUUCGCACGCUGCGCGGGAACCCCGAGACUGAUGCCCGGGCACGCCGAUGCAUCUUGGGGUAGCCUUUGCAGCUAGCCUCGCAUCGGGGCAACAGUUCCGCUACGACAACGCGAGCAGACCAGGAUAUACGGUGUUGGAAAUGUCCCACACUACAACAAAUCAUUAUUUUAUCCACACUGGUUUGAGUGCAAUAUUGUUGUGGUUGGUUCGUUGUUUAAAAUGUGUAAAAGAAAUAAUGUUUGUUUUGCAUGUGGGAUGAGAAUUCAGUAAAACGGCAUGUGAGGGACUAACUUGUCCCCCCCCUCCACAGUACUUAAGUUACUGAAUAUGUAUAUAAAAAUGGAUCUUAAGCUACUAUACCGAGUGUGGUUUGAUUGUCAAUAUCAGUUUGCAUAUGACUGAUGAAAAAGGUAAAAUUUCAGAUUUGAAGAAGUCCAUUGGAACUGUUUUGAAAUAAUAAAAAAAACCAUCCCACCUUGUUUCCAAUUGCCAAAUAUAUAUGCCUUGUAGACUGAAGUGCAAAUUGUGUUUAUUCACAGAUGCAAGACAGUGUUAAAGUAUAAGAAUAAAAUGUCGCAGUAAGGUUUAUUGACC